CAGACGAUAGCUCAUCCGGUAGAGCAUCGGACUUCGGAUCCGAAUGUAGUGGGUUCGAAUCCCACUCGUUGACCA
RNAcentral lists this transfer RNA (75 nucleotides) under Nocardia sp. RNAcentral describes it as "tRNA-Arg". It matches the Rfam family "tRNA". From Rfam's summary of the family: Transfer RNA (tRNA) molecules are approximately 80 nucleotides in length. Their secondary structure includes four short double-helical elements and three loops (D, anti-codon, and T loops). Further hydrogen bonds mediate the characteristic L-shaped molecular structure. tRNAs have two regions of fundamental functional importance: the anti-codon, which is responsible for specific mRNA codon recognition, and the 3' end, to which the tRNAs corresponding amino acid is attached (by aminoacyl-tRNA synthetases). tRNAs cope with the degeneracy of the genetic code in two manners: having more than one tRNA (with a specific anti-codon) for a particular amino acid; and 'wobble' base-pairing, i.e. permitting non-standard base-pairing at the 3rd anti-codon position. The record is from RNAcentral. Lineage: Bacteria; Bacillati; Actinomycetota; Actinomycetes; Mycobacteriales; Nocardiaceae.